Molecule: ribosomal RNA, 774 nt
Filed under: uncultured Neocallimastigales
Lineage: Eukaryota; Fungi; Neocallimastigomycota; Neocallimastigomycetes; Neocallimastigales
Description: partial large subunit ribosomal RNA
Rfam family: Eukaryotic large subunit ribosomal RNA
Source: RNAcentral
GUAGUCUCGCACAGAUGCAUAUCAAUAAGCGGAGGAAAAGAAACUAACAAGGAUUCCCCUAGUAACGGCGAGUGAAGCGGGAAGAGCUCAAAUUUGAAAUCUUAAAGGGUUUCCCUUUACGAAUUGUAGUUUAAAGAAGUGUUUUCUGUUGAGGUUUUGGUAAAAGUUCUUUGGAAUAGGACAUCAUAGAGGGUGAGAAUCCCGUAUUUGACCUUUACUUUCAACUUUGUGAUACACUUUCAAAGAGUCGGAUUGUUUGGGAAUGCAGUCCAAAAUGGGUGGUAAAUUUCAUCUAAAGCUAAAUAUUGGCGAGAGACCGAUAGCGAACAAGUACCGUGAGGGAAAGAUGAAAAGAACUUUGAAAAGAGAGUUAAACAGUACGUGAAAUUGUCAAAAGGGAAGCGUUUGACACCAGUGUUGUUUUUCUGAAAAUCAAUUAAAGAACUGUUUAUGCUAAGUUGUUUAGACUUUAUCAGCUAUCUGCUUAGUUUUGAGCUUUUCUUUAAUGCACUUUUCAGUUAACAAGUCAACAUCAAUUUCUUUUGCUGUAAAAAAGCUUGAGGAAGGUGGCUUGAGAUUCGUCUUAAGUGUUUAUAGCCUCUUGCCUAUGCAGUCGGAGAGAUUGAGGUCUGCAGCGUAGAUCCUUCGGGGCUAAAUGCAUUUGUGCUAAGUUAUAGCAUUUUAUAGACAACUUGUUGACUAUGAUUUGUCUUGUAGCUUACUCGCUUAUGUUAUUUUACCUACGCUUAGGAUGUUGAACUCUAUCACACACAG